CACCGAGCCACAUGGAAGCUCAGUAACUUGCUGAGGUCCCCAAAGGCCAGUAGUGAAGACAGGACGAAACUCGCAGGUGGAUAGCUCCCGAGAGCAGGCUAGGAGUGGCCAGCUUCCUUGAGCAUCCUUGAAGGAGGAGGGAGAAGACCGAUUAAUGAGAAAUGGAAAGGCGGAGCGGUGCUCAGCAGUCCCCAGGAGAGUGGAAUUGAGGCCAACCCGAGGAUUCUGCCAGAGAUGGGGUGUACUAGAGCACCACUUGGGAACCUAGACAGCAUGAUCAAACUACAGAGGUUCAAAUGCAGAAGAAAGAUGUGGUUCAUCCCGGGUAAGGUCAGAAGUUGGAACAAACGACCAUCUGGUGGGAGUUGUGGGAGCCUCAUUUUACUUCCCUAAAAGACACUCCCCCUACUUUGAACACACUCAUCCCAUUAUUCUUGCAAUUUUCUGAAGCAGCUCUGGAAGUCUUCUUUCUUAAGUGUCUUUACUUGCACUGCUGUACUGCUGCCUUGAUGUCCUAAACUGGUUGAGAACAUUUACCUUUCAUGGGCAUUUUGACUUUGGAGAAGAGCCAGCAGACACAUGGGGCCAGGCCUGGAGAAGAAGGUGCAUGAAGACAUUGUUGUGUUUAGGAGCCUGCCUUGCUGUUAGAUGGUGCUCAGCAGCAGCAUUCACUGUACUUUUAAUUACACUUCAUGAAGACCCUCACGAAGGAGGACUCCAGAACUGUUCCAGAAAGUGGUUGAAUCAUGGAUAUGCAGAGCUCUGGUUCUAAAGAUAAAGGACAAAUGUUGAUUAUUUUAUGUAGAUGUCCACAGAGAACUUAUUAAGUGUCAAUAAAUAUGCA
RNAcentral lists this long non-coding RNA (844 nucleotides) under Heterocephalus glaber (naked mole-rat). RNAcentral's name for it is "lncRNA (ENSHGLG00100042565.1)". The record is from RNAcentral. Lineage: Eukaryota; Metazoa; Chordata; Mammalia; Rodentia; Bathyergidae.